Molecule: long non-coding RNA, 2027 nt
Filed under: Canis lupus familiaris (dog)
Lineage: Eukaryota; Metazoa; Chordata; Mammalia; Carnivora; Canidae
Description: lncRNA (ENSCAFG00030024988.1)
Source: RNAcentral
AUACUGUACAAAACGUCUCAAGAAAACGCUGAAGUCAGUCCGCACCGCCGUGCGCCCGUGCGCCCGGAGGUCCCCAGGAGCUCCCGGGAGGGAGAGGCGGGGGCGGGGGCGGGGGCGUGCGCGUGCCGCCCGCGCCCCGCUCCGCGCAGGAGCGCCGAGGGGUCCGUGCCGGGGCCGGGCCGCGGUGUCCCCGCGUCCCUAGAUGUGCGUCAGGGGCACCGUGCCGUUGACGCCCGCGCCCGCGCCCUGGUAGUGCUGCGGCAGCGAGUGCAGCCGGCUCUGCGCCGCCGCGGCCGCCGCGGCCGCCGGGUCUCCGGUCUCCCCGCCGGGCAAGUACAUGCUGAUCAUCUCGCGCAGGUCCCCGGGGCACGGCGCCCGCGAGUGCGCGGGGGCAGGGGGGCUGCCGCUCGGCUCGGACUUGACGAGCGAGCCCAGCGCGCCCAGGGCGCCCGACGACGCGGCCGCCGCGGCCGCCGCGGCCGCCACUGCCGAGUUCUGGUGCGCGCCGCCCGCGGCGGCGGCGGCGGCGGCCGCGGCGCCGUAGGGGAGGCCGCCGUAGCCCGAGGGCGAGGCGCUCAUGUAGCCCUGCGAGUUGGAGAUGGGGCUGUACUGCAGCGCGCCCAUGUCGUAGCGGUGCAUGGGCUGCGGGUUGUGCGGGUGCGCGUGCGGGUGGUGCGGGUGCGGGUGCGCCGGGUGCGCGUGCGGGUGCGGGUGCGGGUGCGCGCCGCCCGCGCCCGGGUGCUGCCCGUAGGCCAGCUGCGCCUCCUGCAUCAUGGCCGCGGCCGCCGCCGCCGCCGCCACCGAGCCGGGGUAGGCGCCGUUGGCCCAGCCGUUGACGUGCGCGUAGCCGCCGCCCGCCGCGCCGCCCGGGCUCUCCAGGCGCUGGCCCACGGCCGCCGCGCCCACGCCCACGCCCACGCCCACGCCCAUGGCCACGGCCGCGCCGCCGCCGCCCGCGCCCGCCGCCAGCAGCCCGCCGGCCAGCGAGUACUUGUCCUUCUUGAGCAGCGUCUUGGUCUUGCGGCGCGGCCGGUACUUGUAAUCCGGGUGCUCCUUCAUGUGCAGCGCGCGCAGCCGCUUGGCCUCGUCGAUGAACGGCCGCUUCUCGGCCUCGGACAUGACCUUCCACUCGGCGCCCAGGCGCUUGCUGAUCUCCGAGUUGUGCAUCUUGGGGUUCUCCUGGGCCAUCUUGCGCCGCUGCCCGCGCGACCACACCAUGAAGGCGUUCAUGGGCCGCUUGACCCGGUCCUGGCUGGCCUUGGCGACCCCGCCGCCGCCGCCGCCGCCGCCGCCCCCGCCGCCCCCGCCGCCGCCGGCCCCGGCCGGGCCCGACAGGUUCGUGGGGGCCUGGGCGCCGCCAGGCGAGUGCAGGGGAAAAAAUAGUCCUGGAAGAGGGGAAAGAGGAAGGAGGAGAGCCCUCGCCAUGUGGAACCCGCAGCGGCCCCUGUGCCAUUUAAGGGGUAGCCACAAGAGCAGGGGACCUUUGCCGUUGCUCUGAGUCCGUCAUCCUGUCCUUCCCCCGCGAGCGUCUGGAUUUGGAGGGCUGAGCCUGAGCGCCUGCAGGAGAGGCGACAUAAAGCCCUUCCCCUGGAAAGCAGGCACGGUUUUCUUUGCAGCCAUCAGUGUGGAGAUCCGUAAAUUCACACUGAAGAGCAAACAACCCUGUGUGUGUGCGUGCGUGUGUGUUGUUCUGUGCCUCCUAGCUCUCUGGGUGAAAGCAUUUGGAGAAUCUCUGGGAGCUUUCGAGUAGGGGCUCACCCUGUGAGCAGUACUCACACAUAUAAUUCAAAUUUCACAGCUGACCUGCUCUGAAAACCUCAAUCAGCUUCUAAUUGAAGGGAAAACAAAAUAUUGCUUCCCUACAGCAGAGCUAACGAUUUAAUCAUUAUAUCAGACAUUAUAGCUUUUAAUUAGGCUAAUGCUGAUACUGUAUGGAAAGAGAUAAUUCAACACAGUUCUUGAUGAAUUCUGUAAUUGGGUUAACGGCAGAGCAGUUGGGGGAGAGACGUCAAUAUUCAAGCUGCGUC